Molecule: ribosomal RNA, 5688 nt
Filed under: Triticum aestivum (bread wheat)
Lineage: Eukaryota; Viridiplantae; Streptophyta; Magnoliopsida; Poales; Poaceae
Description: partial small subunit ribosomal RNA
Source: RNAcentral
AUGGCGACGGCCUCGACGUCGAUGGUGGUGAGGCGGAGGCGGAACGCGCUGGCGCAGACGCUGGCGUCGCGGAGGCUUCCGGAGGGCGUGGCGGAGCCCGGGGAGCGGGUGCCCGAAGCCUUGGCCCCAGAGGUGAUGCCAUUCAUCCGCGCAGCCGACGAGGUCGAGCUGCUCAACCCGCGGGUCGCGUUCCUCUGUCGCAGAUAUGCCUACAAGAAAGUUCAAAGAAUGGAUCCAUCAUCCAUCCAACGUGGGGUUCGGCAGUUCAAAACAUACAUGUCACUUAAGCUAGAUCAGGAUGACACGCAAUUUCCUUUAAAUGAUUCAAAGGAGAUCCAACGAUUUUAUAAGUACUACUGUGAAAAUUUGAGCAGAACUUCUGAAAAACAGAACUUUGAGGAAUUGGCUAGAUAUUACCAAGUGGCAUCUGCUCUUUAUGAAGUGUUAAGAGAUGUAACAAACAACAAGGUUGAUUCUGAGGUGAUGAAACGUGCUAAAGUAGUAGAGGAAAAGAGUGCUCAUUUCAAGAGUUACAAGUACAACAUAGUCCCCCUCAAUUUUCCUGGUUCUGCCGAACCAGUUGUGGAACUCCCGGAGAUAAAAAGUGCUAUGGAUGCAAUACGUAACAUAGACGGUCUUCCAAAGCCACACAUGUCUUCAAUGCACAGGGAAGGAAAAUCUAUCUGGGAUUUACUUGACUGGCUUUCGCUAGCAUUUGGAUUUCAGAAAUCGAAUGUGGAAAAUCAGAGAGAAAAUAUGGUGUUACUGCUUGCAAAUAUUAGCACAAGGACCUCAGGACAGGAAGGGCAUCCUUUGGUCAACACUGUGAAUGAUUUGUGGGAGAAAAUAUUUGGAAAUUAUGAAUCAUGGUGUCGCUAUUUGCAUGUUAGUUCAAGAAUUAUGAUCAAAUAUGAUGACACAGAACUAAAGAAGCAGCAGCUAAUGCUUCUCCACAUUGGAUUGUACCUUCUUAUCUGGGGUGAGGCUUCAAAUGUUCGGUUUAUGCCUGAGUGCUUAUGCUACAUAUUCCACCAUAUGGCAAAACAGUUGAAUCAAAUGGUUGAAGAAAGUUAUUUUCAACCACCACCUGGGUUUGAGGCGGAGGGAUCAUUCUUAAACAUUGUCAUUGAACCUAUCUAUAAGGUUCUGCAGAAGGAAUCACAAAGAAGUAAAGGUGGUACAGCUGGCCACUCAUCUUGGAGAAAUUAUGACGACUUGAAUGAACAAUUCUGGUCAGAGAAAUGUUUUAUGAAGCUUGGCUGGCCAUGGGAUCUCAGUGCAGACUUCUUUCAUCAAGAGGGUCGUAGUGCAAGAAAGCCCAAAACAAAUUUUGUUGAAGUCCGCACAUUUCUGCACCUAUUUAGAAGUUUUAAUCGUAUGUGGAUAUUUUUUACAUUGGCUUUCCAGGCGAUGCUAAUAGUUUCAUGGAGUUCCUCUGGAUCUCUUUCUGGAAUUGCUGAUGCAACUGUAUUCAGAAGCGUUUUAAGUGUCUUUAUAACUGCCGCUCUACUCAACUUCAUAAAAGUGACUUUGGAUAUAUUGCUUACUUUCCAAGCAUGGGGAAGUAUGGAGUGGACACAGAUACUCAGAUACCUACUAAAAUUCUUUGUGGCUAUUGCUUGGAUAAUAAUCCUUCCAGUAACAUAUUCCAGUUCAAUUAAAAGCCCAUCUGGCGCUGGCAAACUCUUGAAUAGUUUGACAUGGAAUUGGUACAACCAGUCAGUAUAUAAUUUUGCAAUCAUCAUUUAUAUGAUUCCGAACAUUUUGUCUGCCUUGCUUUUCUUGUUGCCACAACUUCAAAAUAUAAUGGAACGCUCAAAUUGGCGUGCAGUUAUUCUUCUUAUGUGGUGGAUUCAGCCAAGAUUGUAUGUUGCACGUGGUAUGCAUGAAGACAUAUUUUCCAUUUUUAAAUAUGUCUUCUUUUGGGUUGUGUUGCUCACCUCCAAGCUUGCAUUUAGUUUCUAUGUUGAGAUAUCCCCCAUGAUUGAACCGACGAAGUUCAUUCUUGAUCAAGUAGUUGGGAACUAUGAAUGGCAUGAAAUCUUCCCUUUCUUGCCGCACAAUCUCGGUGUUGUUAUUACUAUAUGGGCACCAAUUGUUUUGGUGUACUUUAUGGACACACAAAUAUGGUAUGCUAUUUUCUCCACUGUCUUUGGGGGCGUUUCAGGUGCCCUCAGUCAUGUCGGUGAGAUACGUACCCUAGGCAUGUUGAGAGUCAGAUUCAAAUCAAUGCCAGAUGCUUUCAGGAAAUGUCGCGUGGCAGCACAUAAAGAGCAAGCACUUGAUGUGAGGAGCUUCUUUUGUGUUUGGAAUUCAUUCAUCAAUUCCUUACGAGAGGAAGACUUCAUUAGUGAUAGAGAGAAGGACAUGUUGAUGGCUCCAUCAUCUUCAAGUAAUUUACCUGUUGUUCCGUGGCCUCCUUUCCUCCUUGCUAGCAAGGUACCAACAGCUCUCCAUAUGGCCAUGACUUCCAAAGAGGGGGAUGACCAUGAGCUGAUUGAAAAAAUCAAACUAGACAAGGACAGAUACAAUGCAGUUAUAGAAUGCUACGAAUCCUUGAAAAUAAUACUUGUUUGUCUUCUGCUAGACUAUAAUGAUAAAAGAAUUGUCGAUGAUAUCGAUAAAAUAGUGCGAAAUAGUAUGCAAAAUAACACACUUUUGGAGGACUUCAAGAUGGCAGAGAUCGGUAAAGUCAGCAACACAUUGGUAAAAUUAUUACAGCUAUUGAAGAGCGAACCUACUGAUGAUACUACAGAGAGAAAAAUCGUUAAUGCAUUGCAAGAUUUUAUGGAAAUUGCUACACGAGAUUUUAUGAAAGAUGGUCACGGCAUUUUGAAAGAUGAGAAUGAGAGAAAGCAGAGUUUCACGAAUCUAAAUAUGGACGUGAUAAAGGAUGCAUUUUGGAGGGAGCAGUUUGUCCGGCUGCAUUUAUUGUUGACUAUGAAGGAUUCUGCAAUGGAUGUACCUACAAAUUUGGAUGCUCGACGUAGGAUCACCUUCUUCGCAAACUCACUUUUUAUGAAAAUGCCGAGAGCACCUCAAGUGCAUGAUAUGAUAUCCUUUAGUGUUUUGACUCCAUAUUACAAUGAGGAAGUACUUUACUCGUCUCAUGAACUAAAUAGAAAGAAUGAAGACGGUAUCUCGAUUUUGUUUUAUCUACAAAAGAUUUAUCCAGAUGAAUGGAAGAACUUUCUAGAACGCAUUGGAGUUGAUCCAGAUAACGAAGAGGAAGUAAAGGGAUGCAUGGAUGAUAUCCGUAUAUGGGCGUCUUACCGGGGUCAAACACUUGCCAGAACUGUGAGAGGGAUGAUGUACUAUAGACGAGCUCUUGAAGUGCAAUGCUAUGAGGAUAUGAAAAGUGAACAAGCAGAUUUGGGUGGAGACGAAUCUGCAAGGUCCAAGGCCAUUGCUGAUGUCAAAUUCACUUAUGUUGUUGCUUGUCAACUCUAUGGCAUGCAUAAGGCAUCCAAGGAUUCCCGGGAAAGGGGUCUGUAUGAGAACAUCUUAAAUCUGAUGCUAACGUAUCCAGCUUUGCGUAUUGCUUACAUUGAUGAGAAGGAAGUGCCACUACCAAAUGGUAAAAUGGAGAAACAUUAUUACUCUGUUCUUGUGAAAGGUGACGAUGAGGAAAUUUACCGGGUAAAGCUGCCUGGUAAACCAACAGAAGUUGGAGAGGGGAAGCCUAAUAAUCAAAAUCAUGCCAUAAUCUUCACUAGAGGAGAGGCACUUCAAGCAAUUGACAUGAACCAGGAUAACUAUCUUGAAGAAUCAUUUAAAAUGAGAAAUUUGUUGGAAGAGUUCCUUAUUAAACAUGGAAAGUCCAAGCCAACAAUAUUGGGUGUUCGCGAGCAUAUCUUCACAGGAAGUGUUUCAUCACUUGCCUGGUUUAUGUCCAACCAAGAGACCAGUUUUGUUACUAUCGGCCAACGUGUUCUUGCAAACCCUCUUAAGGUACGAUUCCACUAUGGUCACCCUGAUGUUUUCGAUAGAAUCUUUCACAUCACAAGGGGUGGCAUAAGCAAGGCCUCAAAGGUUAUUAACCUCAGCGAGGACAUCUUUGCAGGGUUCAAUUCAACCCUGCGACAAGGAAAUGUUACCCAUCAUGAAUACAUACAGUUGGGUAAAGGACGUGAUGUUGGAAUGAACCAAAUAUCCAACUUUGAGGCCAAGGUGGCAAAUGGAAAUGGUGAACAAACUCUAUGUCGUGAUGUUCAUCGACUAGGACACAGAUUCGAUUUCUACAGGAUGUUGUCUAUGUACUUCACCACAGUUGGCUUCUACUUCAAUAGCAUGGUGGCCGUUCUUACGGUGUAUGUAUUUUUAUAUGGGCGGUUAUAUCUUGUUUUGAGUGGCUUAGAAAAGUCGAUUCUCCAAGAUCCACGGAUUAAAAACAUCAAACCCUUUGCAAAUGCACUUGCCACCCAAUCGGUAUUCCAACUUGGGACGUUGCUCAUCCUCCCGAUGAUAAUGGAGGUCGGCUUGGAGAAAGGGUUUGGUAAAGCCCUGGCUGAGUUUAUAAUCAUGCAACUUCAGUUAGCUCCUAUGUUCUUCACUUUUCAUCUCGGGACAAAGACUCACUACUAUGGAAGGACUAUACUUCAUGGUGGUGCAAAAUAUAGAGGAACAGGCCGGGGUUUUGUUGUACGCCAUGCGAAGUUUGCUGAGAAUUACAGAAUGUACUCACGGAGCCACUUUGUGAAAGCAUUGGAGCUGCUCAUCCUCUUGGUUGUUUAUCUAGCAUACGGGAGUUCUUACAGGAGCUCAAGUUUGUAUGUAUACGUCACAAUUUCGAUGUGGUUCCUUGUUUUCUGCUGGCUGUUUGCGCCUUUUAUCUUCAACCCAUCAUGCUUCGAGUGGCACAAGACGGUUGAUGACUGGACUGAUUGGUGGAAGUGGAUGAACAAUAGGGGUGGUAUUGGGCUGGCACCUGAGCAAAGUUGGGAGGCUUGGUGGGUGAGUGAACAUGAGCACCUGAAGAAUGGAACAGUACGUAGCUUGCUCUUGGAGCUGGUUCUGUCGCUGCGCCUCCUGAUCUACCAAUAUGGUAUUGUGUACCACUUGCACAUAGUGCACGAGAACAAAAGCUUCAUGAUAUAUGCACUAUCGUGGCUGGUUAUUGGCAUCGUUCUUGUUUCGCUAAAGGUUGUUUCACUGGGGAGAGAGAAGUUUGUUACCAAGUUUCAGCUUGUGUUCCGUAUACUCAAGGGCAUUGUGUUUCUUGUCCUCAUCGGCUUGAUGGUGGUCAUAUUUGUUGGUUUUGAUCUCGCUGUGUCAGACGUUGGCGCCAGUGUCUUGGCCUUCAUCCCAACUGGCUGGUUUAUUCUUUUGAUGGCACAAGUGUGUGGACCGCUGUUUCGGAGGUUAGUGAUUGAGCCACUUGGCGUGCUGUGUUGCUCCUGUUGCCGCGGUGGAGCAUGCCGAGGGCCUUGCUGCGCCAAGUUGAGGCAGAGGAGUGGGGCUGUGCUCCGUAAGAUAGGGCCAUGGGACUCCAUCCAAGAGAUGGCAAGGAUGUACGAGUAUACCAUGGGGAUCCUCAUCUUCCUGCCCAUCGCCGUCCUCUCGUGGUUCCCCUUCAUGUCCGAGUUCCAGACGCGUCUGCUCUUCAACCAAGCCUUCAGCCGGGGCCUGCAGAUCUCGAGGAUCCUCGCUGGGCAGGACGGGAGGGGUACCAUUACCAAGCGUGAAUGA